CUAAUUACCCUCAAAAUCCAUUUCUAGCUUGAAACUUCACGAUCAUCAUCCAUAACCCAAAUCCCUUUUUGAAUAUCUGUAGAAUUCUCCUAGAAUUGUAUGUUAAUAUUCGUUUUCAAAGAUAAAUCCCUCAUUAUUUCCAGAAAAAUUCCCCUAAUUUCUGCCCUCAACAAUAUUUUUAAACUCUAAAAAUCUUCAAUCGAUCUUUCAAAAUCAUUUUCUUCGAUUCAUUUACUUACUAUAUAUUUGAGGCUUUUUUUCUUAUGGAUUUGCUAUCAGUUAUCACCAUACUAGCAUCUUGUUUCAGGAGUUGUAGUCGUGUUGGGAGAAGAUCUCCACCUCGCUGGAGUAUUUCACUUUGUAGUGGAUACAACAAAUCGUCUUCCUAUUGUGUUAGUUGCCAUUAUUUACUGUUACUAAUGGGUACGUAAUUGUUCAAAACUUCAAAUAAUUGAUUAGUUGUUUCCAUUUUGGAUAUGGUGGAUUCUAGUUAUUGCUUUAACGCAUGCAGCAUCUAUAGGUAAGGCCUUGACAUUUGUCUUCGGUUGUAGAAUAUUGAAGUAGUUUAUGGUCUUCUGCAUUACCCAUAUGGAUGAAUUGUCACUCUGGUAACUGCCUAAGGUUUACCAAUCUUGGAAUCAAUACCAUUUAGAUACCUAUUGGACCCCUCAGCAUGAAUAUUGAAGUUUGCUUCGUCAAUCAAAGAAAAAAUACAAGUAGAAAUAUGUGACUUG
Molecule: long non-coding RNA, 734 nt
Filed under: Olea europaea subsp. europaea
Lineage: Eukaryota; Viridiplantae; Streptophyta; Magnoliopsida; Lamiales; Oleaceae
Source: RNAcentral